AACGAACGCUGGCGGCAUGCCUAACACAUGCAAGUCGAACGAGACCUUCGGGUCUAGUGGCGCACGGGUGCGUAACGCGUGGGAACCUGCCCUUAGGUUCGGAAUAACUCCCCGAAAGGGGUGCUAAUACCGGAUAAUGUCUUCGGACCAAAGAUUUAUCGCCUUUGGAUGGGCCCGCGUUGGAUUAGCUAGUUGGUAGGGUAAAAGCUACCAAGGCGACGAUCCAUAGCUGGUCUGAGAGGAUGAUCAGCCACACUGGGACUGAGACACGGCCCAGACUCCUACGGGAGGCAGCAGUGGGGAAUAUUGGACAAUGGGCGAAAGCCUGAUCCAGCAAUGCCGCGUGAGUGAUGAAGGCCUUAGGGUUGUAAAGCUCUUUUACCCGGGAUGAUAAUGACAGUACCGGGAGAAUAAGCUCCGGCUAACUCCGUG
Molecule: ribosomal RNA, 432 nt
Filed under: uncultured bacterium
Lineage: Bacteria
Description: partial 16S ribosomal RNA
Rfam family: Bacterial small subunit ribosomal RNA
Source: RNAcentral